This is a non-coding RNA of Candidatus Nomurabacteria bacterium, 109 nucleotides long. NCBI's taxonomy places the organism in Bacteria, Candidatus Nomuraibacteriota. The record is from Rfam.
GUUGGUGAUUCAUCGUAGGGGUCACACCUCUUCCCAUUCCGAACAGAGUAGUUAAGCCUUAUUGAGCCGAUGAUACUCGUUUUACGGGGAAAGUAGGUUGUCGCCAGCA